RNAcentral lists this ribosomal RNA (866 nucleotides) under uncultured bacterium. RNAcentral's name for it is "bacterial SSU rRNA". It matches the Rfam family "Bacterial small subunit ribosomal RNA", at positions 340 to 1198 of the family's 1533-position model. The record is from RNAcentral.
UACGGGAGGCAGCAGUGGGGAAUAUUGCACAAUGGGCGAAAGCCUGAUGCAGCCAUGCCGCGUGUGUGAAGAAGGCCUUCGGGUUGUAAAGCACUUUCAGCGAGGAGGAAAGGGAUGUAGUUAAUAACUGCAUUCUGUGACGUUACUCGCAGAAGAAGCACCGGCUAACUUCGUGCCAGCAGCCGCGGUAAUACGAGGGGUGCAAGCGUUAAUCGGAAUUACUGGGCGUAAAGCGUGCGUAGGUGGUUUGUUAUGCAAGAUGUGAAAGCCCCGGGCUCAACCUGGGAACUGCAUUUUGAACUGGCAAACUAGAGUAUUGUAGAGGGUAGUGGAAUUUCCAGUGUAGCGGUGAAAUGCGUAGAGAUUGGAAGGAACAUCAGUGGCGAAGGCGGCUACCUGGACAAAUACUGACACUGAUGCACGAAAGCGUGGGGAGCAAACAGGAUUAGAUACCCUGGUAGUCCACGCCGUAAACGAUGUCAACUAGCCGUCUGUGACCUUGAGUCGUGGGUGGCGCAGCUAACGCACUAAGUUGACCGCCUGGGGAGUACGGCCGCAAGGUUAAAACUCAAAUGAAUUGACGGGGGCCCGCACAAGCGGUGGAGCAUGUGGUUUAAUUCGAUGCAACGCGAUGAACCUUACCAUCCCUUGACAUCCAGAGAAGAGACUAGAGAUAGACUUGUGCCUUCGGGAACUCUGUGACAGGUGCUGCAUGGCUGUCGUCAGCUCGUGUUGUGAAAUGUUGGGUUAAGUCCCGCAACGAGCGCAACCCCUAUCCUUAUUUGCCAGCGCGUAAUGGCGGGAACUCUAAGGAGACUGCCGGUGAUAAACCGGAGGAAGGUGGGGACGACGUCAAGUCCUCAUGG